AAAUAUGAAUAAUGAGAAUACCUCCAAAUUGCAAGAUUUUCAAAUUGUUGCAACAUAUAAGUAUAAAACGUUUUGAAUAUUAUCACUUAUGCCUUUGAAGAACUUUUGAAGAACCAAGAACUUCAUCAACUCCUUCGAUAGAGUCAUUCAAAUAUACCUCGACUCCAAAAGCUAAGAGUAUAAUUUAUCCCUCAAGACUAACAGUAGAUGGCUAGUCACUUAAACUAUAAAGUCCCUCAUCCUAUGGUGACCGACUUGUAGGCUCAAAAAGAACAGUCUUAGAAUUUUAUUGAGUCAUAAAAGUGCAACAGGGACCAUCCCUUACGUAAUGAAUAAAAAUCCACACCAAUAUCACAUUUAAGGCAUUAUCUAGCCUUCACAUUAUAAGUUAAGUGUGACUGAAGUUUCGAUACAUCCCAACACUUACAAAAUUAAGUCUCAUAUUUCAUCUCUCAUACACAAAAUUUCUACAUAUUCAUUCCUUUAGGGUUGUCAAGGCACCCUAAACAUUUCAAAAUUUAGGCUCAUAUAUGAAGGGUUUGUCUACAUUUGUAUAAAGCAGAAGAUUGAAAGUUCUUGUGAAAAUAGUUAGCCUAACAACAUGCACCAAAUAUUAUAAAACCAAAAGGAUUUGUGGAAAUUUCAUUACCUUGACUAACAAACAAAUUGUCUUUCAAAACAUCAGUACCAAAAGGGUCUCCAUACAAAAGCAAAGUUUGCUGAAUCAUUCUGGUACUACCAAUUCCACUAUUAAAAAAUUCAAGAAUUAAAACCUGAAAAGCAAGAGAGGUAUAAAUGUUACCAUUGAAGGUGAAACUGCAAAUUUUUAAAUUGCAUGUUUUAAAGAAGAUGAAAGGACCGAACAAUGUGUGUUUCAUCUUAUUUAAACACAUCAUAACCUCUGAAGAGGAAUGCAGAGAAGUAAGAGAAGUAAUGAGGCAUCCCAUAUAGCACGCAAUGACAAAUCACAGUCUAAAAGUGAACUCGAUGCCAUAAAAACACAACGAAUACUAGUAUUUUCGGAUUGACUUUUCCACAACUGGGUGCACGUCCCAAUGCCAUGUUUUCUGAGAAGCUACAAAAUGAAACUUCAGCACAGAUGUGUGUUUGGUGUGAUUCUACCAUGGAAACAGACAUGCAAUACAAAGCUUUAUAUUAUGAAUACAAAUUCAUAUCAAUAUCGCUCGCAUGUAAGACAUCAUCAAACUUUAAAUUAUGAUUGCAGUGUUCAUGAUGUUCCUUUUAGGGUCAAAUGAGGCAUCCCAUCUCAAAAUUCAUUGAACAAAUAAUAUUCAUAAUUCAUAUUCUUUUCGGGUCAUCGAGGCAUCCUAUAUUCCAUCUCAAUGUGGCAAUUUACAAUUUAGAAUUGCAUUCAGGGUUAUAAAAGCACACAAUGGAUCCAUCCAUUAUAUUACGAAUAAAAAUUCAUAACAAAAUCAAAUUUAAGGCAUCAUACAACUUUUACAUUGUGAGUGAAGUAUUCGUAAUGUUUCCUUUAGGGUCAUCGAGGCAUUCACACACCUGCAACAUUUAUAGAACAUAUAAUAUCCAUUGAUUCAUUUAGGAUCAUCAAGGCAUCUAACAUUUCAUCUCGUAGUGGCAAUCGAUAGUCUAGAAUUGCAUUCAGGGUUAUAAAAGUACGACGAAUCCAUCCCUUAUAUUAUGAAUAAAGAUUGAUAUUAGGGUCAUCGAUUUUUACAUUAUGAGUGAAGUGUUCAAAAUAUUUCCUUUAGGAUCAUUGAGGCAUCCAAACACUUGUAACAUUUAUGAAACAAAUCAUAAUCAUUAAUUCUUUUCGGGUCAUAGAGACAUUAUGAAUGAAUAAAAAUUCAUAACAAUUUCACAUUUAAGGCAUCAUCCAACCUUUAUAUUAUGGGUAAAGUGUUCAUAAUGUUUGCUUCAGGGUCAUUUAGGCAUCUUGUAACACUUCUGAGAUAAAUAAUAUCCAUCAAUUCCUUUCGGGUCAUCGAGGCAUCAUUUCAAAACCCAGGCUCAAAUAUCAUAUGGGUCAUCGAGGCAUGCAAACACUUGCAAUAUUUAUGGGACAAAUAAUAUCGAUCAAUUCCUUUCGGGUCAUUGAGACAUUAUAAUAAUUUCAAAACUCAGGCUCAUAUAUCAUAUUUGAGUGACAAUUCAUAGUCUAGAAUUGCACUCAAGAUCAUAUAUAAUCACUGAGACAUCUCAACAUUUAGAAAAUAGUUUCCUUUAAAAUCACCGAGGCAUCCCAACAUUUACAAAAUUUAAUGGGACAAAUUAUGUCCAUCAAUUCUUUUCGGGACAUCAAGGCAUCAUAAUAAUUUCAAAACUCAGGCUCAUAUAUUUGAGUGACAAUUCAUAGUCUAGAAUUGCACUCAAGAUCGUAAAAUCACUGAGGCAUCCCAACAUUUACAAAAUGUAGAUUUCUUUAAAAUCACCGAGGCAUCCCAACAUUUACAAAAUUUAAUGGGACAAAUAAUAUCCGUUAAUUAGGGUUGGGAAUAGGCCAGGCUGGCAUACAGGGGCCUACGGCCUAGCCUGUUUUGGCCUGGUCUGGCCUGACCUGUUUAGUAGAUAGGCUUAGGCUUAGGCUUUUUAAAAAGCUUGUUUAGUUAAAUAGGUCAGGCUUAGGCUUUCAGAAAAGCCUGUUAAGUCUAAUAGGCCGACCUAUUAAUACUUAUUUAUUAAAAAAUAUUUUUUAUAUUAAAAUAAUUGCAUAAAUUAAAAAUAUAAACAUCUUUUUCUCUAUCUAUUAGUCCCUAAAUAGGUUUUGUUGUUAUAGGCUUUUAAGUAGACUUUAAUCUAGUUAAAAUUUACUUGUAGUUAAAUAGGCUUUUAAGUAGGCUUUAAGGCAUGUUUAGCUUAUUUAGUAGGCCAAAUGAACUAUUUGAUGACCUUAAUAUAAAGUAGGCCUGUAAGUAGGCUUUCAGGCCAGUCCAGGCUUUUAAAUAGGUCAGGCCAGGCCAAGAAAAACGGCCUAUAAUAGGCCACAGGCCAGGCUCAGGCUUGUAAAUUUUUUCGUAGGCCAGGCUCAGGCCUAUCAAAGCCUGGCCUGGCCUAUUCCCACCCCUACCGUCAAUUCUUUUCGGGUCAUCGAUCAAGGCAUCGUAAUAAUUUCAAAACUCAGGCUCAUAUAUCAUAUCUGAGUGACAAUUUUAGUCUAGAAUUGCACUCAAGAUUGUAAAAUCACAGAUGCAUCCCAACAUUUACAAUAUUUAAUGGAAAAAAUAAUAUCCGUCAAUUCUUUUCGGGUCAUCGAUCAAGGCAUCGUAAUAAUUUCAAAACUCAGGCUCAUAUAUCAUAUCUGAGUGACAAUUUUAGUCUAGAAUUGCACUCAAGAUUGUAAAAUCACCGAGGCAUCCCAACAUUUACAAAAUUUAAUGGAACAAAUAAUUUCCGUCAAUUCUUUUCGGGUCAUCGAUCAAGGCAUCAUAAUAAUUUCAAAACUCAGGCUCAUAUAUCAUAUCUGAGUGACAAUUCUAGUCUAGAAUUGCACUCAAGAUCGUAAAAUCACCGACUCAUCCUAACAUUUACAAAAUUUAAUGGAACAAAUAAUAUCUGUCAAUUCUUUUCGGGUCAUCGAUCAAGACAUCGUAAUAAUUUCAAAACUCAGGCUCAUAUAUCAUAUCCGAGUGACAAUUCUAGUCUAGAAUUGCACUCAAGAUUGUAAAAUCACCGAGGCAUCCCAAAAUUUACAAAAUUUAAUGGAACGAAUAAUAUCUGUCAAUUCUUUUCGGGUCAUCGAUCAAGGCAUCGUAAUAAUUUCAAAACUCAGGCUUAUAUAUCAUAUCUGAGUGACAAUUUUAGUCUAGAAUUGCACUCAAGAUUGUAAAAUCACCGAGACAUCCCAACAUUUACAAAAUUUAAUGGAACAAAUAAUUUCCAUCAAUUCUUUUCGGGUAAUCGAUCAAGGCAUCGUAAUAAUUUCAAAACUCAGGCUCAUAUAUCAUAUCUGAGUGACAAUUUUAGUCUAGAAUUGCACUCAAGAUUGUAAAAUCACCGAGGCAUCCCAACAUUUACAAAAUUUAAUGGAACAAAUAAUUUCCGUUAAUUCUUUUCUGGUCAUCGAUCAAUACAUCCUAAUAAUUUCAAAACUCGGGCUCAUAUAUCAUAUCUGAGUGACAAUUCUAGUCUAGAAUUGCACUCAAGAUCGUAAAAUCACCGAGGCAUCCAAACAUUUACAAAAUUUAAUGGAACAAAUAAUAUCUGUCAAUUCUUUUCGGGUCAUCGACCAAGGCAUCCUAAUAAUUUCAAAACUCAGGCUCAUAUAUCAUAUCCGAGUGACAAUUCUGGUCUAGAAUUGCACUCAAGAUUGUAAAAUCACCGACGCAACCCAACAUUUACAAAAUUUAAUGGAACGAAUAAUAUCCGUCAAUUUUUUUCUUCCUUUGAAAUGUAUCUCAAUUUCUUUUAUAUACGUAAACUUUGAGAUGCCUAUUCCACAUUUUGCAUAAACUUAACAACUCUCAAUCAAAAUUAGGAAUCAGGAAAUAUGAAUAAUGAGAAUACCUCCAAAUUGCAAGAUUUUCAAAUUGUUGCAACAUAUAAGUAUAAAACGUUUUGAAUAUUAUCACUUAUGCCUUUGAAGAACUUUUGAAGAACCAAGAACUUCAUCAACUCCUUCGAUAGAGUCAUUCAAAUAUACCUCGACUCCAAAAGCUAAGAGUAUAAUUUAUCCCUCAAGACUAACAGUAGAUGGCUAGUCACUUAAACUAUAAAGUCCCUCAUCCUAUGGUGACCGACUUGUAGGCUCAAAAAGAACAGUCUUAGAAUUUUAUUGAGUCAUAAAAGUGCAACAGGUACCAUCCCUUACGUAAUGAAUAAAAAUCCACACCAAUAUCACAUUUAAGGCAUUAUCUAGCCUUCACAUUAUAAGUGAAGUUUCGAUACAUCCCAACACUUACACAAUUAAGUCUCAUAUUUCAUCUCUCAUACACAAAAUUUCUACAUAUUCAUUCCUUUAUGGUUGUCAAGGCACCCUAAACAUUUCAAAAUUUAGGCUCAUAUAUGAAGGGUUUGUCUACAUUUGUAUAAAGCAGAAGAUUGAAAGUUCUUGUGAAAAUAGUUAGCCUAACAACAUGCACCAAAUAUUAUAAAACCAAAAGGAUUUGUGGAAAUUUCAUUACCUUGACUAACAAACAAAUUGUCUUUCAAAACAUCAGUACCAAAAGGGUCUCCAUACAAAAGCAAAGUUUGCUGAAUCAUUCUGGUACUACCAAUUCCACUAUUAAAAAAUUCAAGAAUUAAAACCUGAAAAGCAAGAGAGGUAUAAAUUUUACCAUUGAAGGUGAAACUGCAAAUUUUUAAAUUGCAUGUUUUAAAGAAGAUGAAAGGACCGAACAAUGUGUGUUUCAUCUUAUUUAAACACAUCAUAACCUCUGAAGAGGAAUGUAGAGAAGUAAUGAGGCAUCCCAUAUAGCACGUAAUGACAAAUCACAGUCUAAAAGUGAACUCGAUGCCAUAAAAACACAACGAAUACUAGUAUUUUUGGAUUGACUUUUCCACAACUGGGUGCACGUCCCAAUGCCAUGUUUUCUGAGAAGCUACAAAAUGAAACUUCAGCACAGAUGUGUGUUUGGUGUGAUUCUACCAUGGAAACAGACAUGCAAUACAAAGCUUUAUAUUAUGAAUACAAAUUCAUAUCAAUAUCGCUCGCAUGUAAGACAUCAUCAAACUUUAAAUUAUGAUUGCAGUGUUCAUGAAGUUCCUUUUAGGGUCAAAUGAGGCAUCCCAUCUCAAAAUUCAUGGAACAAAUAAUAUUCAUGAUUCAUAUUCUUUUCGGGUCAUCGAGGCAUCCUAUAUUCCAUCUCAAUGUGGCAAUUUACAAUUUAGAAUUGCGUUCAGGGUCAUAAAAGCACACAAUGGAUCCAUCCAUUAUAUUACGAAUAAAAAUUCAUAACAAAAUCACAUUUAAGGCAUCAUACAACUUUUACAUUGUGAGUGAAGUAUUCGUAAUGUUUCCUUUAGUGUCAUCGAGGCAUCCACACACCUGCAACAUUUAUGGAACAUUUAAUAUCCAUUGAUUCAUUUAGGAUCAUCAAGGCAUCUAACAUUUCAUCUCGUAGUGGCAAUCGAUAGUCUAGAAUUGCAUUCAGGGUUAUAAAAGUACGACGAAUCCAUCCCUUAUAUUAUGAAUAAAGAUUGAUAUUAGGGUCAUCGAUUUUUACACUAUGAGUGAAGUGUUCAAAAUAUUUCCUUUAGGGUCAUUGAGGCAUCCAAACACUUGUAACAUUUAUGAAACAAAUCAUAUCCAUUAAUUUUUUUCGGGUCAUAGAUGCAUUAUGAAUGAAUAAAAAAAUUCAUAACAAUCUCACAUUUAAGGCAUCAUCCAACCUUUAUAGUAUGGGUAAAGUGUUCAUAAUGUUUGCUUCAGGGUCAUCUAGGCAUCUUGUCACACUUCUGAGAUAAAUAAUAUCCAUCAAUUCCUUUCGGGUCAUCGAGGCAUCAUUUCAAAACCCAGGCUCAAAUAUCAUAUGGGUCAUCGAGGCAUGCAAACACUUGCAAUAUUUAUGGGACAAAUAAUAUCGAUCAAUUCCUUUUGGGUCAUUGAGGCAUUAUAAUAAUUUCAAAACUCAGACUCAUAUAUCAUAUUUGAGUGACAAUUCAUAGUCUAGAAUUGCACUCAAGAUCAUAUAUAAUCACUGAGACAUCUCAACAUUUAGAAAAUAGUUUCCUUUAAAAUCACCGAGGCAUCCCAACAUUUACAAAAUUUAAUGGGACAAAUUAUGUCCAUCAAUUCUUUUCGGGACAUCAAGGCAUCAUAAUAAUUUCAAAACUCAGGCUCAUAUAUUUGAGUGACAAUUCAUAGUCUAGAAUUGCACUCAAGAUCGUAAAAUCACCAAGGCAUCCCAACAUUUACAAAAUUCAAUGGGACAAAUUAUAUCCGUCAAUUAUUUUCGGGUCAUCGAGGCAUCAUAAUAAUCUCAAAACUCAGGCUCAUAUAUCAUAUCUAAGUGACAAUUCUAGUCUAGAAUUGCACUCAAUAUCGUAAAAUCACCGAGGCAUCCAAACAUUUACAAAAUUUAAUGGAACAAAUAAUAUAUGUCAAUUCUUUUCAGGUCAUCGAUCAAGGCAUCGUAAUAAUUUCAAAACUCAGGCUCAUAUAUCAUAUCCGAGUGACAAUUCUAGUCUAGAAUUGCACUCAAGAUUGUAAAAUCACCGAGGCAUCCCAACAUUUACAAAAUUUAAUGGAACAAAUAAUAUCCGUCAAUUCUUUUCGGGUCAUCGAUCAAGGCAUCGUAAUAAUUUCAAAACUCAGGCUCAUAUAAAUUAUUUUCUUCCUUUUAAAUGUAUCUCAAUUUCUUUUAUAUACGUAAACUUUGAGAUGCCUAUACCAUAUUUUGCAUAAACUUAACAACUCUCAAUCAAAAUUAUGAAUCAGGAAAUAUGAAUAAUGAGAAUACCUCCAAAUUGCAAGAUUUUCAAAUUGUUGCAACAUAUAAGUAUAAAACGUUUUGAAUAUUAUCACUUAUGCCUUUGAAGAACUUUUGAAGAACCAAGAACUUCAUCAACUCCUUCGAUAGAGUCAUUCAAAUAUACCUCGACUCCAAAAGCUAAGAGUAUAAUUUAUUCCUCAAGACUAACACUAGAUGGCUAGUCACUUAAACUAUAAAGUCCCUCAUCCUAUGCUGACCGACUUGUAGGCUCAAAAAGCACAGUCUUAAAAUUUUAUUGAGUCAUAAAAGUGCAACAGGUACCAUCCCUUAUGUAAUGAAUAAAAAUCCACACCAAUAUCACAUUUAAGGCAUUAUCUAGCCUUCACAUUAUAAGUUAAGUGUGACUGAAGUUUCGAUAUAUCCCAACACUUACAAAAUUAAGUCUCAUAUUUCAUCUCUCAUACACAAAAUUUCUACAUAUUCAUUCCUUUAGGGUUGUCAAGGCACCCUAAACAUUUCAAAAUUUAGGCUCAUAUAUGAAGGGUUUGUCUACAUUUGUAUAAAGCAGAAGAUUGAAAGUUCUUGUGAAAAUAGUUAGCCUAACAACAUGCACCAAAUAUUAUAAAACCAAAAGGAUUUGUGGAAAUUUCAUUACCUUGACUAACAAACAAAUUGUCUUUCAAAACAUCAGUACCAAAAGGGUCUCCAUACAAAAACAAAGUUUGCUGAAUCAUUCUGGUACUACCAAUUCCACUAUUAAAAAAUUCAAGAAUUAAAACCUGAAAAGCAAGAGAGGUAUAAAUGUUACCAUUGAAGGUGAGACUGCAAAUUUUUUAAAUUGCAUGUUUUAAAGAAGAUGAAAGGACGGAACAAUGUGUUUCAUCUUAUUUAAACACAUCAUAACCUCUGAAGAGGAAUGCAGAGAAGUAAGAGAAGUAAUGAGGCAUCCCAUAUAGCACGCAAUGACAAAUCGCAGUCUAAAAGUGAACUCGAUGCCAUAAAAACACAACAAAUACUAGUAUGUUUGGAUUGACUUUUCCACAACUGGGUGCACGUCCCAAUGCCACGUUUUCUGAGAAGCUACAAAAUGAAACUUCAGCACAGAUGUGUGUUUGGUGUGAUUCUACCAUGAAAACAGACAUGCAAUACAAAGCUUUAUAUUAUGAAUACAAAUUCAUAUCAAUAUCGCUCGCAUGUAAGACAUCGUCAAACUUUAAAUUAUGAUUGCAGUGUUCAUGAUGUUCCUUUUAGGGUCAAAUGAGGCAUCCCAUCUCAAAAUUCAUGGAACAAAUAAUAUUCAUGAUUCAUAUUCUUUUCGAGUCAUCGAGGCAUCCUAUAUUCCAUCUCAAUGUGGAAAUUUACAAUUUAGAAUUGCAUUCAGGCUCGUAUAUCAUAUCUGAGCGACAAUUCUAGUCUAGAAUUGCACUCAAGAUCGUAAAAUCAACAGGGCAUCCCAACAUUUACAAAAUUCAAUGGAACAAAUUAUAUCCGUCAAUUCUUUUCGGGUCAUCGAGGCAUUAUAAUAAUUUCAAAACUCAGGCUCAUAUAUCAUAUCUGAGUGACAAUUAUAGUCUAGAAUUGCACUCAAGAUCGUAAAAUCACCGAGGCAUCCAAACAUUUACAAAAUUUAAUGGAAUAAAUAAUAUCCGUCAAUUCUUUUCGGGUCAUCGAUCAAAGCAUCGUAAUAAUUUCAAAACUCAGGCUCAUAUAUCAUAUCUGAGUGACAAUUUUAGUCAAGAAUUGCACUCAAGAUUGUAAAAUCACCGAGGCAUCCCAACAUUUACAAAAUGUAAUGGAACAAAUAAUAUCCGUCAAUUCUUUUUGGGUCAUCGAUCAAGGCAUCAUAAUAAUUUCAAAACUCAGGCUCGUAUAUCAUAUCCAAGUGACAAUUCUAGUCUAGAAUUGCACUCAAGAUUGUAAAAUCACCGAGGCAUCCCAACAUUUACAAAAUUUAAUGGAACAAAUAAUAUCAUUCUUUUCGGGUCAUGGAUCAAGGCAUCAUAAUAAUUUCAAAACUUAAGCUCAUAUAUCAUAUCUGAGAGACAAUUCUAGUCUAGAUUUGCACUCAAGAUUGUAAAAUCACCGAGGCAUCCCAACAUUUACAAAAUUUAAUGGAACAAAUAAUAUCCGUCAAUUAUUUUUGGGUCAUCGAUCAAGGCAUCAACAAUUGUAGUCUAGAAUUGCACUUAAGAUUGUAAAAUCACCGAGGCAUCCCAACAUUUACAAAUUUAAUGGAACAAAUAAUAUCCGUCAAUUCUUUUCGGGUCAUCGAUCAAGACAUUAUAAUAAUUUCAAAACUCAGACUCAGAUAUAAUAUAUGAGUGACAAUUCUAGUCUAGAAUUGCACUCAAGAUUGUAAAAUCACCUAGGCAUCAUUUACAAAAUUUAAGGAGCAAAAAGUAAUAUGCAUCGUUUCCAUCCAUUACCUAAGAUUGUAUCAUCCUUUUCAAAUUACCAAAAUUGAUUUCAACUCAAAGAGGCGAUCACAGUAAAGAAUUAAAUUCAUGUCAUAAAAGAUAUCAUCCAACUCUACAUUAUGAAUUUUUUUAAGUCAAGGAAACCUAACGGUUUCAACAUUUAGGCUCAAAUAUUGUGAAAAAGAAUGAUCUUGCAGAGUUUCACACGUUUAUGGGGUUUGUUAAAUUGUACAGGGCUGUUGUUGUUAAAGCAGAAAAUUGAAGGUUGUUGAAUAAGGAAGAAUAUAGGGUUUAUGAAUAUUCAAGAAUCAAAAUCUAAAAAUCAAGAUAAAGUUAGAAAUGUACCGUUGAAAAUGAAAGGGGGACAGAACAGAGCGUGUUUCGUCGCUUUCUUGAAGAAAAAAGAAUUCGGCAACGAUUCCUACGAAACCUUUGAAUCGGAACGGUAUUGAUUUUCAUGUUUCGAUUCUUUGAAUUAUUUUAGAUUUAACGCAGUGUUUUCCAUUUAUCGGCUUUUCUACUGGGCUUUUGAUUUUAAUGGCAUGUUGAGC
This 10320-nucleotide long non-coding RNA is filed under the name Medicago truncatula (barrel medic). RNAcentral describes it as "long non-coding RNA (MTRU_LNC001042)". The record is from RNAcentral. Lineage: Eukaryota; Viridiplantae; Streptophyta; Magnoliopsida; Fabales; Fabaceae.